GACUGGCCUGGUCAUGGAGGAGGAGGGGGUACUAAAGAGGAGGCUCAAAACUGUCCGGGAUCCCUGGAGAAUCCUGGUGCGGACUGGGAAGAGAAAAGUCUGAAGUUCCAGUCCACACAGCAGAAACCCCAGAAAGUGGCUUCUGACCUCACAUCAAUUGGAGACCAGAGAGCCUCCAAAACUUCUAUUUGCGGAAAAACGCGAGUCCACCCAAAGCCUUGUGACUGAUUCCCAGAGUUCUGGACCCGCAAGUUCCACGGCUAAGGAUGAUCCCUGACAGAACAUUCUUUGAUCGUCAGACACACAGGUGAUGGAAGCUAUCCCUCAUCGAGAACCUUUUGUACAGGGCACCAUGCUGGACAUGAAGGGAACAGACAGAGGAGCCACAUCCAGAGACUGGCAGAGAAGAGGAGGAAGUGGGAAACUGGCUGUGUGCUAGGAGACUGCUGAGCUUCAGGACACCUGAGCUGGGCCACCAGAAGCUGGCCUCAGUGGUUCACUGCCCUCUGGUUUCAGACCCCAAAUGUGCGUGCGCAAUCCUGACAACAGGGCAGAGAGGGUGACAAGGACCUGAAGAACUCCUAACAAAGGCACCUCAGAGCUUCUCCCUGCAAGGUGUCUCCCAACUGCUGCCCCUCCCCACCCAAGGAGACUUCAAAUUCUACCCCCAAGGCUGAAGCCUGACACCUCUCUGCACCCGCACUGCCACCACCACGGCCCAGCCCACCACAAUCACCUCGCACUGGAUGGCGACAGUCCAUCUGCCAGGUAUCUAGACUCGCAAGUCUGAUCAUGUCACCCCAGGAACACCUUUCAGUGACUGCCCACUGUUCUCAGUGGAAAAACCUAGCCCUGAAUACCAGCAUUUCCUACCCAGCAUUUCUUGGCCCCUGCAAAAUUCUACUGAACAGUUUUGGGUGGCCGCCCUGUGUUGUCAUGCCUCAGCUAUUUGAUGAAGUGUCUGGAAAGCUAUCAGACUCAGCACCACUUCACUUGGUGACUGGGAUAUCCCCUAUGCCCAUCAAUCCUGAUUCAUGGGUUUUUAAGUCUAGGCCAGAUCCAGCAGAGCCUUCCAAAAAGACUUCCUGGUCUAGGCCACUCUCCUCUGGUUCUUUAUGAUACCAGUUCCAACAUUAUAAAGCUUUGGUUUUACUGUAAUUUUUCGUGUGUGUGUGUGUGUGUGUGUGUGUGUGUGUGUGUGUACACUCCACAGUGUCAGUGUUCAUGUAGAGGUCAGAGAACAGCUUACAGGAACUGAUUCUCUCCUUCCUCUGUGCAGAUUCUGAGAUAGAAUUCGUCAGGCUGAGUAGCAAGCGCCUUCACCCCCUGAGCCAUCUCACUUGAUGUUUCUGAAAGGCUCUGGUUCCAUCUUGAGCUACAGAGCUGCUGUAUCUGUUGUGAUCCACUACUGUGUCAUCGGCUUGUAGCACAGACUCUGACUCACCCGUGGACCAGUAGCCUGGCUGCGGAAGGAGUGAACAGAAAAACUAGCUUGGAAGGGAAGCAAGAUCUUCAGGAGUCCUCAGCUUUCUGAUCAACGAGUUGAGAGAUCUGCCUUUCUUUGUAGCUCAGAUCAUUCAGGGCUGACAGUCAUAGAAUCAUCCUGGCUCCCCUCCUGUCUAGUUUCCUGCCUGAGGAUCUACGGCUGACCCUGACAUUUAGUCAUUUUGUCUUCCACUCUCCAAUGCCCAUUGCUGGACAGAAGUAUAAUCAGGUGAUACCAUAAACCUAAUUUGCACUUCUCCUCAGGCAAUGAAGUCAUUGGAGCUUUGGAGGUGGUCUUGAGGCACAGAGAAAGGACUGACCCACCCCACCCUGUGUUCUCCCCUCCCCCUCAG
Molecule: long non-coding RNA, 1838 nt
Organism: Myodes glareolus (Bank vole)
Lineage: Eukaryota; Metazoa; Chordata; Mammalia; Rodentia; Cricetidae
Source: RefSeq, a predicted model, not a curated record